CCUUUCCCCGACUGAACUCGGGUCCUUGAGGGCUGCAGCCUCGGGCCCUUUGCCUCUCCCAGUGACGGCCCAGGGAGCAAAAGGUUAUUGAACAUCUACAGUGGACGGCCCCAGGGCAUAGAGGUGAACCAGAUGCCACAUCCUGCCCUUCCCGGAGGCGAAGGAAGUAAGGGAGACUGAUUUCGUGGAAGGCAGAGCACCCAGGUUCUCAAAUAACUAUACGAACGUCCAGGUUUCAAGUUAGUUUACGCUGAGCGACCUUAAGCAUGACAAUCUCUCUGUUCCUCAGCAUUUUAAUCUAUGAAUUGGCAUCAACAUCAUAUGAAGCUGAGCGACUUAACCCACGGGACCCUUGCAGAACAGUGUCUUGUACGCAUUAGGUUCUCCAUAAACACCAUCUGUUAUCGUCAGGACUCUCUUAGCCGUUAGUUGGUACCAAGAACUAAACACCAUGUGACGGGCUAUGAUCUGUCCCGUGCACAGCAAUAUGGCCCCAUCACCUCCCACUUUGGAUCCUUGACUUCUAAUAAUGUUGCCCAGAAUUUUUGGAGAAUGAUCCUUUUCAGCCACCACACCACCCUGAGCAUCCUUCUAAGAUUUCUGGCAACAAAACCUAAAGCAGCUCUACAACUCUUCACAUGGGCUCUCCCGCGCGUCUUCGCCUUCUGACUCAGGCUGGAUUCCGCACCCGUGUGCACGCACCACCUUUAUCUCUGUAACAGGGAAGUCACCAAUGAGAUAGACAUGCCCGCGACCUUUGCAGAGGAGUGGGGACAGAGAGUGUGGGGAAGACUGGAGGCGCGCAGAUGCCCGCAGAGGGAGGGAGCAGCGCUGUGAAACUACAGAGCCAUCAACACCCUUGCAACUGUUGCUGCUGUCACCCAUUGUAAUUGUAAUUUCCCACAAUUUCACGUUACACGUGGAAUUAAUAAGCAUACUUAUCCCUGCCACACUACCAAUAAC
Long non-coding RNA from Eptesicus fuscus (big brown bat), 963 nucleotides. RefSeq lists it as uncharacterized. The record is from RefSeq and is a predicted model, not a curated record. The transcript is spliced from 3 exons. NCBI's taxonomy places the organism in Eukaryota, Metazoa, Chordata, Mammalia, Chiroptera, Vespertilionidae.